RNAcentral lists this ribosomal RNA (440 nucleotides) under uncultured bacterium. RNAcentral's name for it is "partial 16S ribosomal RNA". It matches the Rfam family "Bacterial small subunit ribosomal RNA", at positions 338 to 795 of the family's 1533-position model. The record is from RNAcentral.
CCUACGGGUGGCAGCAGUGGGGAAUAUUGCACAAUGGGCGAAAGCCUGAUGCAGCGACGCCGCGUGAAUGAUGAAGGACCUAGUGAUGUUAAGCUCUAUCAGCAAGGAAGAAAAUGACGGCACCUGAGUAAGAAGCCCCGGCUAACUACGUGCCAGCAGCCGCGGUAAUACGUAGGGGGCCAGCGUUAUCCGGAUUUACUGGGUGUAAAGGGGGCGUAGACGGGAAUGCAAGUCUGGAGUGAAAGGGGGGGGCUCAACCCUCGGACUGCGGUGGAAACUGUAGGGCUGGAGUGCAGGAGAGGUAAGCGGAAUUCGUGGUGUAGCGGUGAAAUGCGUAGAUAUCACGAGGAACACCGGUGGCGAAGGCAGCUUACUGGACUGCAACUGACGUUGAGGCUCGAAAGCGUGGGUAUCAAACAGGAUUAGAUACCCUUGUAGUC